UUUUAGUGGAUAUCUAUUCUUCUGCAACCCAAAGAGCUAAAACAGAAUUUUACUAAAGCCAGGGAUAGAAAAGUAUGCAAAUAACAUGUCACAUGGCAUGCCAAAACAGCAAAAGCUUAGCGGUUCAGAAGAAGGAAGGAUUCUACCAAGAUGGACUGGGAACCAGGACUCCCCUCAGCACUGAGUCUGCCUCAGGAACCUGUUUAACUCCCCCAGGAGGAAUUCAAGUGAUAUGAUUGGGUAUGAACCCCCCACCCAAGUUGCCUCAGGGCAACUAAACACACAAUGGUCAAAUCAGUUGAGAGUUUAAUUAGAACAUGGGGUAGACACAGCUAACUGUCCGUGAAAAAUGUAUGCUUCUUUCUUUCUUUCAUAGUAGAGGGUCAGGCAUGGACUACAUUUCCCAGCACCCCCCUUUACAUCCAGACUAGAGGCAACUAAGCUACAUUAGAAGACACGUCUUGAAAGUGCCAGCACUUCCUCCAACCUAGAUCCCUGAAUGACUGAAUGGAGAACGGCUUCCCCAACACCCAUUCCCUACUCCCCACCUAGAACUGCUCAGGAUAGUUAACAUCAGCAAGAAAAAACUCCCAUUGUGUUGAAUCAUUGUAUAGUUUUGCGUCAGUUUGUUAUAGUAGCUAGCAUUACACUAAUAAAUUGAGUGUAUUUCUUGUCUUUCA
Galeopterus variegatus (Sunda flying lemur) is the source of this 680-nucleotide long non-coding RNA. RefSeq lists it as uncharacterized. The record is from RefSeq and is a predicted model, not a curated record. Lineage: Eukaryota; Metazoa; Chordata; Mammalia; Dermoptera; Cynocephalidae. The transcript has 2 exons.